GACGAACGCUGGCGGCGUGCUUAACACAUGCAAGUCGAACGGAAAGACCCUGCUUUUGUGGGGUGCUCGAGUGGCGAACGGGUGAGUAACACGUGAGUAACCUGCCCUUGACUUUGGGAUAACUUCAGGAAACUGGGGCUAAUACCGGAUAGGAGCUCCUGCUGCAUGGUGGGGGUUGGAAAGUUUCGGCGGUUGGGGAUGGACUCGCGGCUUAUCAGCUUGUUGGUGGGGUAGUGGCUUACCAAGGCUUUGACGGGUAGCCGGCCUGAGAGGGUGACCGGCCACAUUGGGACUGAGAUACGGCCCAGACUCCUACGGGAGGCAGCAGUGGGGAAUAUUGCACAAUGGGCGGAAGCCUGAUGCAGCAACGCCGCGUGCGGGAUGACGGCCUUCGGGUUGUAAACCGCUUUCGCCUGUGACGAAGCGUGAGUGACGGUAAUGGGUAAAGAAACACCGGCUAACUACGU
This 467-nucleotide ribosomal RNA is filed under the name uncultured bacterium. RNAcentral describes it as "partial 16S ribosomal RNA". It matches the Rfam family "Bacterial small subunit ribosomal RNA", at positions 28 to 506 of the family's 1533-position model. The record is from RNAcentral.